UAGACAUAUCCAAUUUAUUUUUUGCAAACCUACUUUCAAAUAUCAUUGGCCGUGUUUAAUUUUGAGAUUAGGUGGGAUUAUUAUUUGUUUUUUUAGGCCAUAAAAAGGUGGAUGACAGAAGGGAAUGUCUAUAGAUUAUAAUGGGAAGAAAAAUAUUCCCAUAUUCCCAAUUAGGUAUUUUUUAAAACAUUGUCCGUGUGCCCAUAGAGAAUAGUGGAAUGCCCAUAG
Rana temporaria (common frog) is the source of this 228-nucleotide long non-coding RNA. RefSeq lists it as uncharacterized. Lineage: Eukaryota; Metazoa; Chordata; Amphibia; Anura; Ranidae. The transcript is spliced from 3 exons. The record is from RefSeq and is a predicted model, not a curated record.